GUUGAAGUGGCUGAGAAUUAGAGGCAUCGGUCUGUAAAACCGAUUACGGAUAUUUCCCUUCAAUA
This 65-nucleotide transfer RNA is filed under the name Platynereis bicanaliculata. RNAcentral's name for it is "tRNA-Tyr". It matches the Rfam family "tRNA". Rfam says of the family: Transfer RNA (tRNA) molecules are approximately 80 nucleotides in length. Their secondary structure includes four short double-helical elements and three loops (D, anti-codon, and T loops). Further hydrogen bonds mediate the characteristic L-shaped molecular structure. tRNAs have two regions of fundamental functional importance: the anti-codon, which is responsible for specific mRNA codon recognition, and the 3' end, to which the tRNAs corresponding amino acid is attached (by aminoacyl-tRNA synthetases). tRNAs cope with the degeneracy of the genetic code in two manners: having more than one tRNA (with a specific anti-codon) for a particular amino acid; and 'wobble' base-pairing, i.e. permitting non-standard base-pairing at the 3rd anti-codon position. Lineage: Eukaryota; Metazoa; Annelida; Polychaeta; Phyllodocida; Nereididae. The record is from RNAcentral.